Non-coding RNA from Odocoileus virginianus texanus, 1300 nucleotides. Lineage: Eukaryota; Metazoa; Chordata; Mammalia; Artiodactyla; Cervidae. The record is from RefSeq and is a predicted model, not a curated record.
CCGGGGCCCUGCGACCUCUCGGGGUCCUGCUCUGAGGACGGGAAGGCCAGCGACAGGCAGAUGAGAGGGGGGCGCAGAGAGAGAAACAGAGAAGGUUGGAAGCACAAUUCUGGUGACAGGAGGGGCCAGUUCCUAGGCUGCUACUCGAGGUUUCCAGCUCCCAGCACCUCCUUCCCCCGCUGAAGGAGGCUGCAGAAGGUCCCGUUAUUCUUAGCAUUACUAUUACUUUAUGACCACGCACAACCUCUUGCGAAAGCCCCCGCGUCACAGCGGGAGGAGGCGAGGCCCGCAUCUCCGCUGCGCAGGCUCCCCCACGAUAAGCGAGCUGCCCGUCAAAUUUGUCUGGACUCCUGGAAGAGCCAAUAAAGAUAAGGCCUGGGUAUUUUUGGAAGCCAUUGGGUACGAACCCAAAACAAAACAAAACACAAACCUACUGCCCUUCUGAGAAUUUUUUCUCUUCGUCAAAUUACAGGAGGUCAGCAGAGACCUAUUGAUGAAAAUUGGCAACAGGAAUAUUCCCUGCAGGAGCCGAAAUGCCUGAAAUAACCCGCCUCUGGCAAAAAAAAUCCAAAAACACAGGAGGGGAAAGAUCCGCAGAUGGAGAGGCCAGAAAUACAAGCCGACUCAGCGGAGCUCAGUGACGUUGGGCUGCCUCGAUGCUUACAGAGUACUGAAAUUGCCUAUCCAACAAGCUUCCACUGCACGCCGCCUGCCUCUGUCUCUCUCUCCCUCCCUCCCUCUCUUCCUCCCCCCUCCCUCUCCCAUCCCACUCCCUCCCCCAACCACCUUUUCCAUUAGAUUUCCCGAACACUCAAAUCACAACACGAGUCUCAAACCCAGACCUCGAGAGCACCCCCCUCCUCUCCACCCCCUUCCCAACCUCCAUCCAUCUCGGCUUCUCUGAGCGCGGCUCGGUGGCUGCGAAAAAUCCUGCACAAAUCAUCGCAAACCCGCUCGCCUUCUGCCCGGAGAAAUAAUCUCGGUGUCGCGGGCGGUGCGGAGAACAGGAGCCUGAACGCACCAGGCGUGCACACACCCGCCGAGAGCCUCCUCUGCAGCCUGGCCCACGUUCUCUCUCUGCCGCUGACCUCAAGACAGGAGAGCUGCCUGACCUCGCCUGGCCCAGCCUGCCUUCGCUAGCCGCCCUGACAUCUCCCCCCUCCCCACUCAUCACCCCGACUCUCAGCGACUCCGGGUUGAAGGCAGGGUGAAGGCAUACCCCAAUAAAAUAAAGAGGCGACCAGGCGAUACGGACUAUCUCACCAGCCGCUGCACCUAUAGGACGUGGAGACGUCACGAG